AUUGAACGCUGGCGGCAGGCCUAACACAUGCAAGUCGAGCGGAUGAAGGGAGCUUGCUCCUGGAUUCAGCGGCGGACGGGUGAGUAAUGCCUAGGAAUCUGCCUGGUAGUGGGGGAUAACGUCCGGAAACGGGCGCUAAUACCGCAUACGUCCUGAGGGAGAAAGUGGGGGAUCUUCGGACCUCACGCUAUCGGAUGAGCCUAGGUCGGAUUAGCUAGUUGGUGGGGUAAAGGCCUACCAAGGCGACGAUCCGUAACUGGUCUGAGAGGAUGAUCAGUCACACUGGAACUGAGACACGGUCCAGACUCCUACGGGAGGCAGCAGUGGGGAAUAUUGGACAAUGGGCGAAAGCCUGAUCCAACCAUGCCGCGUGUGUGAAGAAGGUCUUCGGAUUGUAAAGCACUUUAAGUUGGGAGGAAGGGCAGUAAGUUAAUACCUUGCUGUUUUGACGUUACCAACAGAAUAAGCACCGGCUAACUUCGUG
RNAcentral lists this ribosomal RNA (484 nucleotides) under uncultured bacterium. RNAcentral describes it as "partial 16S ribosomal RNA". It matches the Rfam family "Bacterial small subunit ribosomal RNA", at positions 30 to 507 of the family's 1533-position model. The record is from RNAcentral.